Non-coding RNA from Arvicanthis niloticus (Nile rat), 198 nucleotides. The record is from RefSeq and is a predicted model, not a curated record. Lineage: Eukaryota; Metazoa; Chordata; Mammalia; Rodentia; Muridae.
AUUCCUUCUUGGCCUCUUGGCUAGAAUUAAGUGUAAUAUCUGUUCUCAUUAUCUAAUUAUAUGAUAUGUCUGCUAUUCGGGACAAUGUCUUAAAUAGGUUGUUGGAGCUAGGAGUUGGAAUGGUGAACUAAGGGACUUGUUCCAUCCACUCCAUAAAGAGACCUGAAAUUGCAGUAUUUCUACAAAUAAUACACCUUU